RNAcentral lists this transfer RNA (88 nucleotides) under Bacillota bacterium. RNAcentral describes it as "Firmicutes bacterium (anaerobic digester metagenome) tRNA-Ser". It matches the Rfam family "tRNA". From Rfam's summary of the family: Transfer RNA (tRNA) molecules are approximately 80 nucleotides in length. Their secondary structure includes four short double-helical elements and three loops (D, anti-codon, and T loops). Further hydrogen bonds mediate the characteristic L-shaped molecular structure. tRNAs have two regions of fundamental functional importance: the anti-codon, which is responsible for specific mRNA codon recognition, and the 3' end, to which the tRNAs corresponding amino acid is attached (by aminoacyl-tRNA synthetases). tRNAs cope with the degeneracy of the genetic code in two manners: having more than one tRNA (with a specific anti-codon) for a particular amino acid; and 'wobble' base-pairing, i.e. permitting non-standard base-pairing at the 3rd anti-codon position. The record is from RNAcentral. Lineage: Bacteria; Bacillati; Bacillota.
GGAGGGGUGUCCGAGCGGUUUAAGGAGCUAGUCUUGAAAACUAGUGACUCUUUUAGAGCCGUGGGUUCGAAUCCCACCCCCUCCGCCA